Molecule: long non-coding RNA, 2169 nt
Filed under: Anser cygnoides (Swan goose)
Lineage: Eukaryota; Metazoa; Chordata; Aves; Anseriformes; Anatidae
Description: lncRNA (ENSACDG00005014228.1)
Source: RNAcentral
AUGAAGGAUGCUUUCUCCCAGCCCUCGGAGGGAUUUAAAGUUCUUUCUGCUUGUGCUGAGAUGGAAAGGAGGCGAAUGGGAAAGACUGCAAUUAAAAUGCCUUUUUUCCUUUGCUCUGUCUUUGGCAAAAUAUGUUCAAGGAAGAUGAGAAACUGUUCCAUUUCAGUGAAGGAAGCACUAACAAUAGAAGUCACAGGAGCUGCAGAAAAUUGGGUUAGAAAGCCCAAGAGUGACUGCCUUUCUUCUGGUUUAAAGGCAGGAUUGACUCGCCUUGCUGUGGCCACGACAGAUGCUUUUCUAAACUGCUCUUGGAAGAUCUUUGUGGCUGGAGAAUCCAGGUUCCCUAUGCGAGGGCAAUUCCAGUGUUUGUCUGUCCACUUUGCUUGGUUAGACAUCAGCAGUAGUUUCUGAGUUUCCUCUGCUGCUGUCCAAGCCCAUUGCUUGCUGUGGGUCCUGAAGACCUCUGUGAGGGGCUUUGAGAGCUGGAGGCGAGGAGAGGCAGGGACUGAGCGCCGCUGCUCUGAGUGAGGCUAGAGCCUGAGGACUAAGGACAACUUACCUGAAUUCCCCUCUUCAGCCCAUUUGUCCCAGACAAACGUCUCUGGCUGAGGUGGGCAGGCAGCUGCUCUUCGGGUUCAAGAGCAGGAAUAAGCUGAGUUGUCUGUCCCUGCUUGUUAAAGGUGGGUGCAACUGAGGGGGGUGUAACUUGGUCAGAAUUCAUCACCAAAGGUGCACGUGUGCACACAUGCAGGUAUGUGAGUCUCCUUAGAGGUCAGAACUACCCUACACAGCUAAAGUGCUUUGGUUACUUAGAAUAUGAGGAAUUAAAUCAAAUUAUCUCAUUUGUCUAGCUUUUCGGGGUUAGCAGACUAACCUUGUUAAUCUACAGAAAUAUAUACUAUUCCUCCAUAAUACUGUACAGUUUCCCUUUUUUAUUAUUAUUUUACCCGUUAGCUGUUCCUAUGUAUGUGUCAGGUGGGUUUGUCCUGCUGUAUUGGUGAAUUUGUUUCCUUUCUGAAACAAAAGUGCAACUGAUGUAAAUGAGUUCCUCAUUUUUCUUUUGGGCAAGAGCCAUCCCAGAGCUGGGGCUGAGCAGCUGCUGCUGCGUCACGUAACGAAAAUCACAGCCCUGCUCUUACAGCUACCCAGAUGAAACCUGCAGCAAAUUAAGGCAGCCCCCAGCCUCUUCAUGCCGUUGCUGCACUGCCAGGAACUGUUAGAUGAUGAAAUGGGAGGAUAAUGGACUCGUCCAGAGGUAUCCCCCACCCCAUCAAAACCCCACUCCUGAGACACGCCUGGAAGGUCAAGGCUGCAGCUCUGCGCUUCGGGAGAUACCUGUGAGCUGCGAGGGGAUUUCUGAAGGGGAGGAGCAAGCCCUUUGCUUAUACCAUCCUUUUCCCCGCUGCGUGAUGAAGAUCUCCCCUAAAUCUGCAUCGCUGUCCUGAAGGUCUGCGGCUCCCCCGGGAGGGACGCGCAGCUGCGGGGACAGCGGCAGUCACGCGCCGACUGGGAGAUGGACCUGAACGGGAUUGAUUGCUCUCGGGUUCAUCCUUUAAAACUGAGUGGCAGGCUAAGCUGUUGUUUCAAUCAAUAACAUAAAUACGCUGCUCGCCCAGCCCUGGGAAGGUGGGAACUCUGUGUGGGGGAGUAGGCAUUAAGGUUAUUUAUCGUCACAGGGCGCAGAAGUGAAAUACUGGGCUUCCCUGGCAGAUUAGAGAUUUAAAGCUCAUUUAAACCUACUUUUGGAAUCUAAUUAAACAGGGACAAAUUCCUCUGAACACCCUUGCUUUACUGCAAAAACAGCUUAUUCUUCAUCUAGGAAUUUAUAGCACUUUCGUUAACUCGACACAAAGGCCAAAUUUGCUUGAUAAUCAGGUAUAGGUUAUACCGCAAAACCUUAACGUCUCAUCUCGGCACUACUUCAUUAGGAUGGCCACAAAUAGCCCCGCCAGGGACGGGAGGAGCCCUGCAGCACUGAGCCUGAACGCAGCGUGGUAACUGUGCAGACAGAGCCUUUCCUCAGCCGCUGCUCACACCUACGGGAGGAGGUUUCUGUAGCUUGGAUCACGGCAGAUGGGUGGUGGCAGCUUUCACGGAGGAAACCUCACGCCUUAGCAGCAGAACUUGUAGCCAGAAUAAAUUCUGAGUGUGCUUGGAUGUGCCUCCCCA